Molecule: long non-coding RNA, 1329 nt
Organism: Neofelis nebulosa (Clouded leopard)
Lineage: Eukaryota; Metazoa; Chordata; Mammalia; Carnivora; Felidae
Exons: 2
Source: RefSeq, a predicted model, not a curated record
GUGGCCGGCAUUCAGUAAGUGCUGUGUAAGUGUUAACGGCUUGUGUUCGUGUUCUUGUUGGCGUAGCCCUCCUUCGGGGCUGUCCCCAUGUGUGGUUAUGAAGCCUGGGGUUUGCUGCCGCCGACAGUCAACCAGCUCGUAGUUGUGGGUGGUCUUCUGUGCGACGGGACCGUCGUGUGAGCUGGGGGCUGUGGGAGAGCAGUGGCCAGAGAAGCAGAUCUCUUCUCUGCUCUUUGUAGGCGUUUUAAAAUAGGGCGAGAAAGUGGUAUUAUCGGAAAAGAUGGCCUACAAUUAUAGUACCAAGUUUUAAAGGAGAGAAUGCCAGAAGUCUAGGAGAGGGUGGGAUUGGGUGUCCAGCUCACUGUUCUCCAGUCCAGUCUGUGGGCAGGUCCUGGCCCUUGGCGGAGCGUCUGCUCACUCAGGCCGAAAGAAAAUAGCACUUAAGCUUCCUGUGUGUGCCGCUCACUGUCUGAAAUGCUUUAUGUAUUAGCUCCUUAUCGUGGUCCUGGGAGGUGGCUUAUUAUGGCAGGAUAGUGAGAAUCAGACCUCUUACAGACCAGCGCCUCUGGUUCCUUUUCUCGAUACAAUUCUAGAAGUCGAAAAGUAUGUCUUGAGAAGGCAUAGAAACCUGCAGUGUAUCAUUAUUCUAACUUCACGUGUGGAAAACCCCAAGGCCGAGGGAGGUAACCUACCCCCAGUCCCACCCCCAGGAAGUCGGGGCCAGGAUCUCAUGGGUACAGACUGCCUCCGCACCCCGCCCUCCUGCCCCAGACAGCUUGCCCACAGUGCUGCAUUUGUUCAGCAGACACCACUGUGAAAAAGUAACUCUAAUAUCCUUUUAGAAAAAUCCUUUUAUCUUGGAGAGAAUAAAAAAUCGGCAGCCUCCUCCCCCGCCUUUAUUUGUCCAUAAAAUCCAAGUUAUCCAUUUUUACUUUCCAGGGUAAGAAAGAAGACACUGAAAGAUAUAGUGGUUUACCUAUACAUUUUCCAUCCAGGCACUUGGAUGAUUUUUCCACUGGUUUUAUUGGAUAUUGGAAAAUGGACAAGGCUGUGAUGAGGGGAAGGGGCGAAGGAAAGGCUUUUUUCCCUGCCGUUGCUGUUGACCCGCGCGGCCUCUCUCCUCCCACCUGAGGCUAUGACUUGUUAACCAAACUGUCUUAAUUCAGUGGUUCCCAACAAUAUGACUGGACGGGUUUUAGGAUCUAGAAGACCUCUUCGUCUGUGGAUGUCAUUUCUAAUUCUUCAUUGUGUACUGUGUUUCAGAGUUUUGUCUGUAUUUUAAAUUGAAAUCUAGACUCUGUCCCACAUUCGUAAUUUCAGAACUGAAGA